GACGAACGCUGGCGGCGUGCUUAACACAUGCAAGUCGAACGGAAAGGCCCUGCUUUUGUGGGGUGCUCGAGUGGCGAACGGGUGAGUAACACGUGAGUAACCUGCCCUUGACUUUGGGAUAACUUCAGGAAACUGGGGCUAAUACCGGAUAGGAGCUCCUGCUGCAUGGUGGGGGUUGGAAAGUUUCGGCGGUUGGGGAUGGACUCGCGGCUUAUCAGCUUGUUGGUGGGGUAGUGGCUUACCAAGGCUUUGACGGGUAGCCGGCCUAAGAGGGUGACCGGCCACAUUGGGACUGAGAUACGGCCCAGACUCCUACGGGAGGCAGCAGUGGGGAAUAUUGCACAAUGGGCGGGAGCCUGAUGCAGCAACGCCGCGUGCGGGAUGACGGCCUUCGGGUUGUAAACCGCUUUCGCCUGUGACGAAGCGUGAGUGACGGUAAUGGGUAAAGAAGCACCGGCUAACUACGUG
Molecule: ribosomal RNA, 468 nt
Filed under: uncultured bacterium
Lineage: Bacteria
Description: partial 16S ribosomal RNA
Rfam family: Bacterial small subunit ribosomal RNA
Source: RNAcentral